Molecule: transfer RNA, 72 nt
Filed under: Marmota monax (woodchuck)
Lineage: Eukaryota; Metazoa; Chordata; Mammalia; Rodentia; Sciuridae
Description: tRNA.Ala
Source: RNAcentral
GGGAUGCAGCUCAGUGGUAGAGCAUUUACCUAGCACAUGUAAGACCCUGGGUUCAAUCCCCAACAUAACCCC